This 523-nucleotide ribosomal RNA is filed under the name Kodamaea ohmeri. RNAcentral's name for it is "eukaryotic LSU rRNA". It matches the Rfam family "Eukaryotic large subunit ribosomal RNA", at positions 43 to 659 of the family's 3401-position model. Lineage: Eukaryota; Fungi; Ascomycota; Pichiomycetes; Serinales; Debaryomycetaceae. The record is from RNAcentral.
UCAAUAAGCGGAGGAAAAGAAACCAACAGGGAUUGCCUCAGUAACGGCGAGUGAAGCGGCAAAAGCUCAAAUUUGAAAUCCCCCCGGGGAGUUGUAAUUUGAAGAUUGCGUCUUGGAGGCGACCGUGUCUAUGUUCCUUGGAACAGGACGUCACAGAGGGUGAGAAUCCCGUGCGGCACGGCCCCCGGCUCCUUAUAAGGCGCUCUCGACGAGUCGAGUUGUUUGGGAAUGCAGCUCAAAGUGGGUGGUAAAUUCCAUCUAAAGCUAAAUACAGGCGAGAGACCGAUAGCGAACAAGUACAGUGAUGGAAAGAUGAAAAGCACUUUGAAAAGAGAGUGAAACAGCACGUGAAAUUGUUGAAAGGGAAGGGCAUGCCGUCAGAUUGUCAGUGUGGGUAAGAAGCGGGGUACAAAGACUGUGGAACGUGGCCCUCGGGUGUUAUAGCCGCAGUUCAUGCCCCGUCUCUUUCCGAGGCCUGCUUUGAGGACACCGACGUAAUGACGGUACGCCGCCCGUCUUGAAA